GCAAGUCGAGGGGUAACAUAGAGAAGCUUGCUUUUCGCUGACGACCGGCGCACGGGUGCGUAACGCGUAUGCAAUCUACCUUCAACUGGAAGAUAGCCCGAAGAAAUUCGGAUUAAUAUUCCAUAACACUACGAAAUCGCAUGGUUUUGCAGUUAAAGCUCCGGCGGUUGAAGAUGAGCAUGCGUCCCAUUAGUUUGUUGGUGAGGUAACGGCUCACCAAGACUACGAUGGGUAGGGGGCCUGAGAGGGUGAUC
Molecule: ribosomal RNA, 254 nt
Filed under: uncultured bacterium
Lineage: Bacteria
Description: partial 16S ribosomal RNA
Rfam family: Bacterial small subunit ribosomal RNA
Source: RNAcentral